This 386-nucleotide long non-coding RNA is filed under the name Daucus carota (carrot). RNAcentral's name for it is "long non-coding RNA (DCAR_LNC002978)". The record is from RNAcentral. Lineage: Eukaryota; Viridiplantae; Streptophyta; Magnoliopsida; Apiales; Apiaceae.
AGGUAACGUCACUUUAGAAGACUCGCUGGAGAGUACUGGACCUGUAAACGUACGUAUACAAGUUUACAUAUGUGAAAGCUCUGUAACAUACCGCGUACUCACAAGUUGACACGCUGUUAAAAAACAAUCAAACUGGAAGGAGGUUCAAGUGGUUUAAUUAGGUUGAACAAGUGAGCAGUAAGAUAAAUCAAGGGGAAACAAGGAGGGGGUUGAAUUAUUGGCGCAAAAAAGAUAAGAGGUCUGAUUCUGAUAGAAUAGAGAGCAGUGACACAAGGCAACCGGUACAUAUAUGGAGAGAUGGAGAGUAACGUAAAGUGGGGUAGGUGCGGUGAAUGAGUCAGGUCACGAGAAUCCUCAUUUUUCUACUUACCCAACUUAUUCCAGUU